GGAGAAGUACUCAAGUGGAUCAAGAGGCAGCACUGGAAAUGCUGUAGGGGGCGCAAGUCCCGCGUGGGUUCGAAUCCCACCUUCUCCG
RNAcentral lists this transfer RNA (88 nucleotides) under Carboxydocella thermautotrophica. RNAcentral describes it as "tRNA-Ser". It matches the Rfam family "tRNA". From Rfam's summary of the family: Transfer RNA (tRNA) molecules are approximately 80 nucleotides in length. Their secondary structure includes four short double-helical elements and three loops (D, anti-codon, and T loops). Further hydrogen bonds mediate the characteristic L-shaped molecular structure. tRNAs have two regions of fundamental functional importance: the anti-codon, which is responsible for specific mRNA codon recognition, and the 3' end, to which the tRNAs corresponding amino acid is attached (by aminoacyl-tRNA synthetases). tRNAs cope with the degeneracy of the genetic code in two manners: having more than one tRNA (with a specific anti-codon) for a particular amino acid; and 'wobble' base-pairing, i.e. permitting non-standard base-pairing at the 3rd anti-codon position. The record is from RNAcentral. RNAcentral also lists the same sequence under 3 other names. Lineage: Bacteria; Bacillati; Bacillota; Clostridia; Eubacteriales; Clostridiales Family XVI. Incertae Sedis.